GAUGAACGCUAGCGGCAGGCUUAAUACAUGCAAGUCGAGGGGCAGCACGAAUAGCAAUAUUUGGUGGCGACCGGCGCACGGGUGCGUAACACGUAUACAACCUACCUAUAACAGGGGGAUAGCCUUUCGAAAGAGAGAUUAAUACCCCGUAAUAAAUUGAGUGGCAUCACUUGAUUUUGAAAGCUACGGCGGUUAUAGAUGGGUAUGCGUCUGAUUAGCUAGUUGGUGAGGUAACGGCUCACCAAGGCGACGAUCAGUAGGGGAUCUGAGAGGACUAACCCCCACACUGGUACUGAGACACGGACCAGACUCCUACGGGAGGCAGCAGUAAGGAAUAUUGGUCAAUGGAGGCAACUCUGAACCAGCCAUGCCGCGUGCAGGAUGACGGCCCUAUGGGUUGUAAACUGCUUUUGUACCAGAGAAAACCUACUCACGUGUGAGUAGCUGAUAGUAUGGUAAGAAUAAGCAUCGGCUAACUUCGUGCCAG
RNAcentral lists this ribosomal RNA (487 nucleotides) under uncultured bacterium. RNAcentral describes it as "bacterial SSU rRNA". It matches the Rfam family "Bacterial small subunit ribosomal RNA", at positions 28 to 511 of the family's 1533-position model. The record is from RNAcentral.